GACGAACGCUGGCGGCGUGCUUAACACAUGCCAGUCGAACGGAAAGGCCCUGCUUUUGUGGGGUGCUCGAGUGGCGAACGGGUGAGUAACACGUGAGUAACCUGCCCUUGACUUUGUGAUAACUUCAGGAAACUGGGGCUAAUACCGCAUAGGAGCUCCUGCUGCAUGGUGGUGGUUGGAAAGUUUCGGCGGUUGGGGAUGGACUCGCGGCUUAUCAGCUUGUUGGUGGGGUAGUUGCUUACCAAGGCUUUGACGGGUAGCCGGCCUGAGAGGGUGACCGGCCACAUUGGGACUGAGAUACGGACCAGACUGCUACGGGAGGCAGCGGUGGGGAAUAUUGCACAAUGGGCGGAAGCCUGAUGCAGCAACGCGGCGUGCGGGAUGACGGCCUUCGGGUUGUAAACCGCUUUCGCCUGUGACGAAGCGUGAGUGACGGUAAUGGGUAAAGAAGCACCGGCUAACUACGUG
This 468-nucleotide ribosomal RNA is filed under the name uncultured bacterium. RNAcentral's name for it is "partial 16S ribosomal RNA". It matches the Rfam family "Bacterial small subunit ribosomal RNA", at positions 28 to 507 of the family's 1533-position model. The record is from RNAcentral.